GGCCAGUCUGAGUGCGGUGGUGUCUACAACUAAUUGAUCACAGUGAGUUACAGAUUUCUUUGUUCCUUCUCUAUUCUCACUGCUUCCCUCGACUAGCCUUAU
This is an unclassified non-coding RNA of Aotus nancymaae (Ma's night monkey), 102 nucleotides long. It matches the Rfam family "Y RNA". Rfam says of the family: Y RNAs are components of the Ro ribonucleoprotein particle (Ro RNP), in association with Ro60 and La proteins. NCBI's taxonomy places the organism in Eukaryota, Metazoa, Chordata, Mammalia, Primates, Aotidae. The record is from Ensembl.